RNAcentral lists this ribosomal RNA (279 nucleotides) under uncultured bacterium. Its description in RNAcentral is "partial 16S ribosomal RNA". It matches the Rfam family "Bacterial small subunit ribosomal RNA", at positions 506 to 784 of the family's 1533-position model. The record is from RNAcentral.
UGCCAGCAGCCGCGGUAAUACGUAGGGGGCAAGCGUUGUCCGGAUUUACUGGGUGUAGAGGGCGCGCAGGCGGAUUUGUCAGUCAGGGGUGAAAUCCCACAGCUCAACUGUGGAACUGCGCUUCAAACCGCCAGGCUAGAGGGAGUCAGGGGUGAGCGGAACUGAUGGUGGAGCGGUGAAAUGCGUUGAUAUCAUCAGGAACACCGGUGGCGAAGGCGGCUCACUGGGGCUCUUCUGACGCUGAGGGACGAAAGCUAGGGGAGCGAACGGGAUUAGAUA